GCCUGGGUGGCUCAGUUGGUUGAGCGUUCGACUUCGGCUCAGGUCAUGAUAUCGCAGCUCGCGAGUUCAAGCCCCGCCUCGGGCU
Molecule: transfer RNA, 85 nt
Filed under: Felis catus (domestic cat)
Lineage: Eukaryota; Metazoa; Chordata; Mammalia; Carnivora; Felidae
Rfam family: tRNA
About the family: Transfer RNA (tRNA) molecules are approximately 80 nucleotides in length.
Source: Rfam by way of RNAcentral